CACCCAACCCCCACCCCCACCCCGCCCAUGUCCUCGCGCCCCUGCUCCCCGCCCCACCCGAGCUAAAAAUUGCGAAGCUUUCCGAAUGGAGGUGACCGUCGGGUAACCCAUCGUCCGUCCGCCCCCGCCAUGAGCCCGUGAUUCCUAGCAAGUUCUCCGGGGUUCCGGAUUUGGUUCAGAUUUGUGGGCGUGUUCCCGUGGGGGAACUGAUGGUGGGUUACAUGGAGUGGUCGCACGAUUGGCUGCUGUGGGACGCCUUCUUGGAAUGCGGAGGGAUCCGGAGGCCGCCGAUUAGAUAGCGGCCGGGGAGGAGGGAGGAGCGGAGGACCAGGAGGAGGCCGCCAUUAGCACCCACCCUGCCACCCACCCACCACCCCGACGCCCGACUCGCCGCCCUGCCUGCCACCCAUGGGGGAGGACCUCGUCACCACCCUGUCCAUGGAGAACGGCGGCGGCGGCGGGGGCCACCACGGCCUCUGCACCCUGCUCUCCAUGGACCCCUCCGGUCACCUCGACGACCGCGCCGUCGGCGUCAUGGUGCAGCCACGCGCCAGAGGUGGCGCGCGCGCCCACGCCCACGCCGUGUCCCUCUCCGGCGCCCCGCCGCCCGACAUCAACCAGCCGUGGCAGACGGAGCCCUGCGACAUGCUCGGCGUCGGCCUCGGGCCGCAGGUCUUCGAAGCCGAGGCCGUGCUCAGCACCGCUCCCAAGGCUGCCGCCGGGAGCCGCAAGACCACCAAGCGCGGGGACAGCAUCUGGGGCGCCUGGUUCUUCUUCACCUUCUACUUCAAGCCCCUGCUGUCGGACAAGGCCAAGAGCAAGGUCGUCCGGGACGCCAACGGCGUGUCGGGGUUCGACAAGUCGGACCUCCGGCUCGACAUGUUUCUGGUGCAGCACGACAUGGAGAACAUGUACAUGUGGGUGUUCAAGGAGAGGCCGGACAACGCCCUCGGGAAGAUGCAGCUGAGGAGCUACAUGAAUGGGCACUCACGCCCUGGCGAGCCGCAUUUCCCUUUCAGCGUGGACAGGGGAUUUGUCCGGUCGCACCGGAUGCAGCGCAAGCACUACCGGGGCCUCUCGAACCCGCAGUGCAUCCACGGGAUUGAGGUGGUGAGUUCGCCGAAUCUCGUGGGCAUCACAGAUGUGGACCGGAGGAGGUGGGCGGAGCUCACAGGGAGAGAGCUCAAUUUCUCCAUCCCACAGGAGGCCAGCGAUUUCGGGACAUGGAGGACCAUGCCAAACUCAGAGCUUGAGCUGGAGAGGCCACACACACAUCCUGCCAUGAAGAGCAAUACUAAUAAUGUUCAGCAGCAACCCCCCAAGAAGACGCUUAAUGGAUCAGGCUUGAAUUUGUCAUCGCCAUCCAAUCAUUCAGGAGAGGACGGUAUGGAUCUCUCCCCUGUCAGCAGCAAGCGAAGGAAGGAGGCAUUUCCACAUGCCAUGGAUGAGGAGUGCUUCUUGCCUCUGAACCCUUGCACUGGGAGGACACAACAAGAUAUCGAGAUGCAGUCGGUAGUGCAGCCUUCGUGGAUGCACGAGUUCACCGGGGUGAUGAGGAAGGCCUCUGGGCCAGCAACUGCUGCCAAGUCCAUUUACGAGGAUGAUCAGGGCUACUUGAUAAUGGUCAGCUUACCAUUUGUCGAUCAACAGAGGGUAAAAGUUUCAUGGAAGAACACUCCUACUCAUGGCAUAGUUAAAAUCUUCUGUGUCAGUACAGCCCGGAUGCCAUACAUAAGGAGACAUGACAGGGUCUUCAAGCUCACUGACGCCAUGCCCGAGCACUGCCCUCCUGGGGAGUUCAUCCGUGAAAUACCUCUAGCCACCCGUAUCCCCGAAGAUGCCAAGCUUGAGGCAUGCUUUGAUGAGGCCGCUGCAGUUCUUGAGAUCAUGGUCCCCAAACGGGGAAACGAGCCGGAAGAACAUGAAGUUAGGGUCUCCAUGCGCCCUCCUCACCUGGGAGUGAACGACCUGCUUAUGACAUAGGUAAUGGAAGGUCUAUCUUGUGUGUGAUCACCAGAUCAUAUGCUCCAAGGGGCUACUGUUAGCAUCUUGUUCCGAGACUGUUGCUGUUGCUUACUGUGCCUGGCCUCUUCAGCAACAAGCUUUUGCUGAAGAUUAGUUCGUUCUAGCUUGUAUGUGACGGGUGUCUUUUUAACCCUCGUGUUCUCUUCUCCUAGCAUCAUAUUGUGGGCCUGUUUGUCCUUGAAUCUGUACCAGUUAACAGAAUAAAAAUUUAUAUUUGGUGGGUUACUGCUCAAUUUUUGGAUCUGGAUUAUAGUAACAAUUCUUAUGUUAGUACCAGUCUGUACUUCCCAAAUUUACAAUGUUCUUUGCAGUUAAGAGAUUAAUUCAGUGCUUCAGCUUAU
This 2366-nucleotide ribosomal RNA is filed under the name Triticum aestivum (bread wheat). Its description in RNAcentral is "partial small subunit ribosomal RNA". The record is from RNAcentral. Lineage: Eukaryota; Viridiplantae; Streptophyta; Magnoliopsida; Poales; Poaceae.